RNAcentral lists this ribosomal RNA (253 nucleotides) under uncultured bacterium. RNAcentral describes it as "partial 16S ribosomal RNA". It matches the Rfam family "Bacterial small subunit ribosomal RNA", at positions 524 to 776 of the family's 1533-position model. The record is from RNAcentral.
UACAGAGGGUGCGAGCGUUGUUCGGAAUUAUUGGGCGUAAAGGGCGCGUAGGCGGCGCCACAAGUCACUUGUGAAAACUCUGGGCUCAACUCAGAGCCUGCAAGCGAAACUGUGGUGCUGGAGUAUGGGAGAGGUGCAUGGAAUUCCCGGUGUAGCGGUGAAAUGCGUAGAUAUCAGGAGGAACACCGGUGGCGAAGGCGGAUCUCUGGGCCUUACCUGACGCUGAGGAGCGAAAGCAUGGGGAGCAAACAGG